This is a long non-coding RNA of Phyllopteryx taeniolatus (common seadragon), 406 nucleotides long. RefSeq lists it as uncharacterized. Lineage: Eukaryota; Metazoa; Chordata; Actinopteri; Syngnathiformes; Syngnathidae. The transcript has 3 exons. The record is from RefSeq and is a predicted model, not a curated record.
GCAAUGUUGAAAUAUUGUCUGAGACAGCUCUGAUAUUGUCAACCCUAUUCUGCAAACAGCCCCUAAGCAGCAGAUUAGGAUACUAUUUAGGGAUUACUUUAUGAUGUUUUGAUUUAUUAACCAGUCAUAUUAGUGCAAGGUGUAUUUAUUUCUUUGGCAUUUCAGCUCGGCAGCAGCAUCUCUCAGCAUUCACAUUUUCAAGUUAACACGUGAUCAGCAAAUUAAAUCAAGGACAGCGAUAGAAGUGAAUCUUUUGAUCAACUAAUGAAAGUCUUCAAGGCACACUGUUAGUUGGUCUCAAGUCCAUGCGGAUGAUUUUCACUGACACGUUGAUGUUGAAACCCUGUCCUGCACUGAUACUCCCACUGGCUCCUGGUAAUUUGUUGGUGUUGUUUAUUGUUGUGCC